Molecule: ribosomal RNA, 435 nt
Filed under: uncultured bacterium
Lineage: Bacteria
Description: partial 16S ribosomal RNA
Rfam family: Bacterial small subunit ribosomal RNA
Source: RNAcentral
GAUGAACGCUGGCGGUAUGCUUAACACAUGCAAGUCGAACGGACUCUUCGGAGUUAGUGGCGGGCGGGUGAGUAACGCGUGAGAAUCUGGCUUUGGGUUCGGGACAACCACUGGAAACGGUGGCUAAUACCGGAUGUGCCGAGAGGUAAAAGAGAAAUUGCCUGAAGAUGAGCUCGCGUCUGAUUAGCUAGUUGGUGAGGUAAAGGCUCACCAAGGCAGCGAUCAGUAGCUGGUCUGAGAGGAUGACCAGCCACACUGGGACUGAGACACGGCCCAGACUCCUACGGGAGGCGGCAGUGGGGAAUUUUCCGCAAUGGGCGAAAGCCUGACGGAGCAAUACCGCGUGAGGGAAGAAGGCUCUUGGGUUGUAAACCUCUUUUCUUAGGGAAGAACAAAAUGACGGUACCUAAGGAAUCAGCAUCGGCUAACUCCGUG